RNAcentral lists this ribosomal RNA (245 nucleotides) under uncultured Melioribacter sp. RNAcentral describes it as "partial 16S ribosomal RNA". It matches the Rfam family "Bacterial small subunit ribosomal RNA", at positions 524 to 768 of the family's 1533-position model. The record is from RNAcentral. Lineage: Bacteria; Pseudomonadati; Ignavibacteriota; Ignavibacteria; Ignavibacteriales; Melioribacteraceae.
UACGUAGGGGGCAAGCGUUGUCCGGAUUUACUGGGUGUAAAGGGCGCGUAGGCGGGUUUGUAAGUCAGUGGUGAAAUCUCACAGCUUAACUGUGAAACUGCCAUUGAUACUGCAGAUCUUGAGUUCGGAAGAGAGAGAUGGAAUUCCAGGUGUAGUGGUGAAAUACGUAGAUAUCUGGAAGAACACCAGAGGCGAAGGCGAUCUCUUGGUCCGUAACUGACGUUGAGGCGCGAAAGCGUGGGUAG